Molecule: ribosomal RNA, 253 nt
Filed under: uncultured bacterium
Lineage: Bacteria
Description: partial 16S ribosomal RNA
Rfam family: Bacterial small subunit ribosomal RNA
Source: RNAcentral
GACAGAGGGUGCAAACGUUGUUCGGAAUUACUGGGCGUAAAGCGCGCGUAGGCGGCUCGAUCAGUCGGGUGUGAAAUCCCUGGGCUCAACCUGGGAACUGCAUUCGAUACUGUCGAGCUAGAGUGUGGGAGAGGGUAGUGGAAUUCCCGGUGUAGCGGUGAAAUGCGUAGAUAUCGGGAGGAACAUCAGUGGCGAAGGCGACUGCCUGGCCCAACACUGACGCUGAGGUGCGAAAGCGUGGGUAGCAAACAGG